AUGAACGCUGGCGGCGUGCUUAACACAUGCAAGUCGAACGAAGCAUUUAGGACAGAUUACUUCGGUUUGAAGUUCUUUAUGACUGAGUGGCGGACGGGUGAGUAACGCGUGGGUAACCUGCCUUGUACUGGGGGAUAGCAGCUGGAAACGGCUGGUAAUACCGCAUAAGCGCACAAUGUUGCAUGACAUGGUGUGAAAAACUCCGGUGGUAUAAGAUGGACCCGCGUCUGAUUAGCUAGUUGGUGAGAUAACAGCCCACCAAGGCGACGAUCAGUAGCCGACCUGAGAGGGUGACCGGCCACAUUGGGACUGAGACACGGCCCAGACUCCUACGGGAGGCAGCAGUGGGGAAUAUUGCACAAUGGAGGAAACUCUGAUGCAGCGACGCCGCGUGAGUGAAGAAGUAAUUCGUUAUGUAAAGCUCUAUCAGCAGGGAAGAUAGUGACGGUACCUGACUAAGAAGCGCCGGCUAAAUACGUG
Molecule: ribosomal RNA, 480 nt
Filed under: uncultured bacterium
Lineage: Bacteria
Description: partial 16S ribosomal RNA
Rfam family: Bacterial small subunit ribosomal RNA
Source: RNAcentral